CGGGUGAGUAACGCGUAUCCAACCUGCCCUUUACUCCGGGAUAGUCUCCUGAAAGGGAGUUUAAUACCGGAUGUGUUUGUCUUUCCGCAUGGGAGCGACAAAUAAAGAUUAAUUGGUAAAGGAUGGGGAUGCGUCCCAUUAGCUUGUUGGCGGGGUAACGGCCCACCAAGGCAACGAUGGGUAGGGGUUCUGAGAGGAAGGUCCCCCACAUUGGAACUGAGACACGGUCCAAACUCCUACGGGAGGCAGCAGUGAGGAAUAUUGGUCAAUGGGCGUAAGCCUGAACCAGCCAAGUAGCGUGAAGGACGACGGCCCUACGGGUUGUAAACUUCUUUUAUAAGGGAAUAAAGUUCGCCACGUGUGGUGUUUUGUAUGUACCUUAUGAAUAAGCAUCGGCUAAUUCCGUGCCAGCAGCCGCGGUAAUACGGAAGAUGCGAGCGUUAUCCGGAUUUAUUGGGUUUAAAGGGAGCGUAGGCGGGCUUUUAAGUCAGCGGUCAAAUGUCACGGCUCAACCGUGGCCAGCCGUUGAAACUGUAAGCCUUGAGUCUGCACAGGGCACAUGGAAUUCGUGGUGU
Molecule: ribosomal RNA, 575 nt
Filed under: uncultured bacterium
Lineage: Bacteria
Description: bacterial SSU rRNA
Rfam family: Bacterial small subunit ribosomal RNA
Source: RNAcentral